UGGGGAAUCUUGCGCAAUGCGCGAAAGCGUGACGCAGCAACGCCGCGUGGGGGAAGAAGGUUUUCGGAUUGUAAACCCCUUUCAGGAAGGACGAAGGUUCGGCAGUUAAUAGCUGACCGGACUGACUGUACUUUCACAAGAAGGUCCGGCUAACUACGUGCCAGCAGCCGCGGUAAUACGUAGGGACCUAGCGUUGUCCGGAAUCAUUGGGCGUAAAGCGCGCGUAGGCGGCCCGGUAAGUCCGUUGUAAAAGUCAAAGGCUCAACCUUUGAAAGCCGAUGGAUACUGCCGGGCUAGAGUCCGGAAGAGGCGAGUAGAAUUCCUGGUGUAGCGGUGGAAUGCGCAGAUAUCAGGAGGAAUACCCAUAGCGAAGGCAGCUCGCUGGGACGGUACUGACGCUAAGGCGCGAAAGCGUGGGGAGCGAACAG
This 428-nucleotide ribosomal RNA is filed under the name uncultured bacterium. Its description in RNAcentral is "bacterial SSU rRNA". It matches the Rfam family "Bacterial small subunit ribosomal RNA", at positions 355 to 775 of the family's 1533-position model. The record is from RNAcentral.